Molecule: non-coding RNA, 31 nt
Filed under: Rattus norvegicus (Norway rat)
Lineage: Eukaryota; Metazoa; Chordata; Mammalia; Rodentia; Muridae
Source: RNAcentral
UUAUAUUAUUAAAUAAUCCUAGAAAAACAGC